Molecule: long non-coding RNA, 757 nt
Organism: Cyprinus carpio carpio
Lineage: Eukaryota; Metazoa; Chordata; Actinopteri; Cypriniformes; Cyprinidae
Source: Ensembl
GCCCAAAGCUAAAGUCAGCAUAUUGUGUUGUACACCCACCUGUCUGCCCAGAUGAAGUCCCAGUUGUAUUGGAUGUACUUACCUUAUGCCCAAAGCUAAAGCCAACAUAUUGUGUUGUACACUCGCCUGUAUGCUCAAGUGAAACCCCAGUUGUCUUUCCUACGGACUUACUUGUGCCCCCGAGUGAAGAGCCAGCGGCCCCUCUGUCCACUAUCCGUGUCCAGUCCUGUUACACUUACCUUUAUGCUCUUGUGCAGAUCUAGCGGGUCCCUUUGAAGCGUCUACCUGCAUGUCGACUCGUCACUCAGGAUACAGAGACCGUGGAAACCCCCUCCCGUACACUUACCAGUACGGUUUUAGUUGGAUCCCGGCAGCCCUUGGGCAGUUCCCCCAGCAUCUGGACGACCGGGAGUAUAAUCCGCUGGGUCGCCUCGGAGUUCGUCAAAAGUAGCAGCAGGUAUCCAUUGUGCAUCCAAACUCUCAAUACUUACCACUUGUAUCUGUUACGUCCAGGAAAGGAGAGGGCCCUGGACAGUCGUCCUGCAAGCCAGAACAAAGGGGCACUUGCGAAUAAGCUGAUUGUCGUCACAUAGCCAGAAGGAAAGAGGAGUGAAGGACUCACCUGAGAUCUCCCGUGACGGAGUCUAAGAGACUCGAGACUGUUACUCUCCAAAAGGAGGGUUGGAUUUUAGCCUCCCUUCCCCAUACCCUUUUUUUAGUAAUUUAAUAAAGUCUGUUUUAAUAUUUACUUACCGGC